GGAAGAUGCCGCUCAGUGGUGGGCGAAUCGGUUUGAACCCGGUGGUGCUGGUAACGGUGGGGGCUCGACUCCUCCAUCUUCCGCCA
This 86-nucleotide transfer RNA is filed under the name Klebsiella ornithinolytica. RNAcentral's name for it is "Raoultella ornithinolytica tRNA-Ser". Lineage: Bacteria; Pseudomonadati; Pseudomonadota; Gammaproteobacteria; Enterobacterales; Enterobacteriaceae. RNAcentral also lists the same sequence under 2 other names. The record is from RNAcentral.